AGAUGCCUGCAGCCUUUUGAGGAAACACAUCAUUUUCACAAAAAGCUUUCUGUGAAGAAUCUUUCCUGCUCAGCUUGAGACUGAUGGACAAAAGCUGAUUGGGAAAGGAUCCCAGCAUGGCCAGUGGUCGGCACGUUCCCUGGUGCUGUGGAUUUUCACCAUGUGAUACAGGAAAGGUUGAGUUAGCUCCAAAUAAAGCAGAGCAAGGAUUUGACACAGUCUUCCCACAGCCACUGCAAAUAUCCCAACCUUGGGGUCAUCUUCUCUCCUCUGUCCCAAGAAAUGGGAUUUUCAUGAACUCAGGACCAACCCAACAAGAUCAAUUGUGCUCAACAGAUUGAUCCCACUCAAGGAGGUGUUUUAGAUCAUGAACUCUGGUCUCUACAUCCUAUAGAAAUAUCCCCAGGCUUUGGCAUGCUGGGAGCUGAACCUGUUUGCUCACUUGCUCUUCCUUCCUUCUUAUUUUCAUUUUGAUGAGACAAAAACUCUAAAACAUCCCCAUUUUCCCUAAAACAUGUUUUGCUUUCUAGCCAGCUUUAUUCAGCAUUUUAGAAAAGAGUCCUUGGUCUGAUACCAGACAUUUAACAUGUGCCCCACUUUGACGCUGCUACUGACACCAAAUCUAAAAAAUAAAAAACCAAAAUAAUACACAUAGAAUGAGAAGCAUUUUCUCUUACCUUACCAGGCUGUGAAUCAAACCCCAUGCUUCAAUAUUUUCCCAAAAAGUGUCAUUGAGUUUGUUUGCUUGUUUAAUAGAAAAUAAAAUGUGUGUUCUUUACAGUAAAACAUCAUUUAGAGAAGCAGGAGCCCACAUCGGAAAGGCCCCUGAGCUGCUGCUCUGCCUUUUGUACAUUGCUGUUUGUUGAUUUUUUUUGUUCCUAAUCCUGGAGAAAAACUGGCAGGAAUUGUGCGGGGUCCUUGCAGAGCUGGGAGCAGAUGAUCCCUUUGCUGCUGGAGAACAGAACUCCCUUCAGCUGCUCCUCACUGUGGGUGAGGAACUGCAAACCUCUGUGGGAUGCACCAGGCACUGAAGAGGAGCAGUGGGGGGAGAUUGGUGCUCUAGCAAGCAAGGACCUCAUCUUAACCACAUAAUAGGGGGAAAAUAAUUUCCAGACUAAAGAACUAAACUUUGCACAGCACUUACUGAACCUGAGUAAGAUUUAAAACCUGAGUGGAGUGGCAGGCAGAUCUGAGCCCACCUUCAGAGAGAGUGGCUGCAAAUGAGGGGGAAUCCCAAGAGCUAAUGGGCAGAUAAAUACUCAGUUCCUUCUGUUAGUAAAUUUACAACAUACUCAAGGAAGACAU
This is a non-coding RNA of Zonotrichia albicollis (white-throated sparrow), 1305 nucleotides long. NCBI's taxonomy places the organism in Eukaryota, Metazoa, Chordata, Aves, Passeriformes, Passerellidae. The record is from RefSeq and is a predicted model, not a curated record.